UCUCCGAUCUCUCUCGAUUCCUCCCUUUCUCUUCGAAUACUCCGCGCCCCAUGCCAGCCAGGGACGAGAGCUAGGGCGGCGGCAGCUCCAUGCGCGCGCGGAGAGCUUUGAUCCACAGGAGCGAUGGCGCUUGGUCCUUGUCCCUGUCCGGAGCACUCGCGCCCGUCUGCGUGAGGGGGAGCAGGAGAGUUGCUUGGUUCAGUGUCCAAUAUGCUAGCAUAAUGCGUAUGUGUGUGCAGUAAAUCAUAGUAAUUCCUGCUAUUGUGACUAGUACUACCAGGCUUGAUUCUGUGGUGAUGCUUCCUACAGUUACUAUUACUGAAGCACAUCAUGUCUGUACAUAUGAAAAACCUCUAAGCAUUACAAUAAUAGAUAGAAAAAGGUGUAUCUAAUUAACUCCUACUAAGCUUGUAAUGCAUGUGCUGUUUCUCAUUUUGCCAUGAAUAAUCAGAGAUGUAAUCGUGCAACUUAGCAUUCAUUUUCUCUAGAUUCAUUGGCUUAUAGCAAUAUAAAAAAAACCUCACCAUAAUUUCAUUUAUGCAGGAAGCACUGUUUCACUAAAUUGAAAGUGCUAGAUCCAUAUUCUCCAGAUUGGCUUGAGGUUUGCUGAAAGU
RNAcentral lists this long non-coding RNA (614 nucleotides) under Setaria viridis. RNAcentral describes it as "long non-coding RNA (SVIR_LNC010564)". Lineage: Eukaryota; Viridiplantae; Streptophyta; Magnoliopsida; Poales; Poaceae. The record is from RNAcentral.